Phacochoerus africanus (Common warthog) is the source of this 65-nucleotide small nucleolar RNA. RefSeq annotates it as small nucleolar RNA SNORD115. NCBI's taxonomy places the organism in Eukaryota, Metazoa, Chordata, Mammalia, Artiodactyla, Suidae. The record is from RefSeq and is a predicted model, not a curated record. The transcript has a single exon.
GGGUCAAUGAUGAAAAAUCAUAUUGUCAUGAAGAAAGUUGAUGACAUAAAAGUCAGCUGAGGCUU